GGCUACCGCUAUUGGAGUUCGAUUAAGCCAUGCGAGUCUAGAGGCCUAGCCUCGGCGUACCGCUCAGUAACACGUGGGUAACCUACCCUAUGCUGGGGGAUAAGCUCGGGAAACUGAGAAUAAUACCCCAUAGUCCACUACGCCUGGAACGGUGAGUGGAUCAAAGCUCCGGCGGCAUAGGAUGGGCCUGCGGCGUAUCAGGUUGUAGGGGGUGUAACGUACCCUCUAGCCAUCCACGCGUACGGGUGUUGGGAGACAUUGCCCGGAGAUGGAUUCUGAGACACGAAUCCAGACCCUACGGGGUGCAGCAGGCGCGAAAACUUGGCAAUGCGAGAAAUCGUGACCAGGGAACUCCAAGUGGCUGGGGUAAGACCCAGUCUUUUCUUGACUCUUCAAAGGUCUUGGAAUAAGGGGUGGGUAAGGACGGUGCCAGCCGCCGCGGUAAUACCGGCGCCUCAAGUGGUAGUCGAUUUUAUUGGGCCUAAAACGUCCGUCGCCUGUUUGGUACAUUCGUGGGUAAAUCAACCAGCUCAACCGGUUGAAUUCUGCGAGCACGGCCAGACUUGGGACCGGGAGAGGUGUGGGGUACGCUCAGGGUAGGGGUAAAAUCCUGUCAUCCUGAGCGGACCACCUGUUGCGAAGGCUCCACACUAGAACGGAUCCGACGGUCAGGGACGAAGCCUAGGGGCACGAACCGGAUUAGAUACCCGGGUAGUCCUAGGUGUAAACGCUGUGGACUUGGUGUUGGGAAGGUUCCGAGCCUUCUCAGUGCCGAAGCGAAGGUGAUAAGUCCACUGCCUGGGGAGUACGGUCGCAAGGCUGAAACUUAAAGGAAUUGGCGGGGGAGCACCGCAACCUGAGGAUUGUGCGGUUU
RNAcentral lists this ribosomal RNA (874 nucleotides) under uncultured euryarchaeote. RNAcentral describes it as "bacterial SSU rRNA". It matches the Rfam family "Archaeal small subunit ribosomal RNA", at positions 22 to 903 of the family's 1478-position model. Lineage: Archaea; Methanobacteriati; Methanobacteriota. The record is from RNAcentral.